AUUGAACGCUGGCGGCAUGCUUUACACAUGCAAGUCGAACGGCAACAGGCCGCGAGGUGCUGACGAGUGGCGAACGGGUGAGUAAUGCAGCGGAACGCGCCCAGACCUGGGGGAUAACUACUCGUAAGAGUAGCUAAUACCGCAUACUAUCUCUGGCUGCCAGCGGGUGACCGCAAGGCCUCGUCCGACUUGACCCGCCGAUGUCAGAUUAGGUAGUUGGUGGGGUAAAGGCUCACCAAGCCAACGAUCUGUAGCUGGUCUGAGAGGACGACCAGCCACACUGGGACUGAGACACGGCCCAGACUCCUACGGGAGGCAGCAGUGGGGAAUUUUGGACAAUGGGCGCAAGCCUGAUCCAGCAAUGCCGCGUGCAGGAAGAAGGCCUUCGGGUUGUAAAGUGCUUUUGUACGGAAAGAAACGCCUCUGGUUAAUACCCGGGGGUAAUGACGGUACCGUAAGAAUAAGCACCGGCUAACUACGUG
RNAcentral lists this ribosomal RNA (482 nucleotides) under uncultured bacterium. RNAcentral describes it as "partial 16S ribosomal RNA". It matches the Rfam family "Bacterial small subunit ribosomal RNA", at positions 30 to 507 of the family's 1533-position model. The record is from RNAcentral.